GUUUCUGUAGUGUAGCGGUUAUCACGUUCGCCUCACACGCGAAAGGUCCCCGGUUCGAAACCGGGCAGAAACA
Clarias gariepinus (North African catfish) is the source of this 73-nucleotide non-coding RNA. The record is from the annotation of a RefSeq genome assembly. Lineage: Eukaryota; Metazoa; Chordata; Actinopteri; Siluriformes; Clariidae.